Sitodiplosis mosellana (orange wheat blossom midge) is the source of this 7821-nucleotide long non-coding RNA. RefSeq lists it as uncharacterized. NCBI's taxonomy places the organism in Eukaryota, Metazoa, Arthropoda, Insecta, Diptera, Cecidomyiidae. The transcript is spliced from 2 exons. The record is from RefSeq and is a predicted model, not a curated record.
GUGUAAUGAUGUUCGUUUGGCAGCACAGCAUCAUCCUUUGCUUACAGAAUCGCUAGAAAUAACAAAACACUCGCAAUUUCUGGCCAUUCCGAAUUCAUUGAUGUGUGUUGCUAUUACGGUCAUUGUUUUUUUUUCCCGUUGCUUUUGUUUUUCGUCGAGUGCUCGCGUAUUAAUGUCGAUUGAGUGUGUGCGUUUUGAAGGCCGAAAGUUAAAAAAUAAAACAAGUUUAGCAGAAAAUUGAAACGUCACUUGCAAUCGAAAAGUUUAAAAGCGUUGUAGCGCUCGCUUGGCAAAACUAAAUGUCAAUAAAAUCAUUAAAUUAUAUUCAUUGAAACUGAAGUGUAAAAAAAAAGUGUUCGGUUAACCGCAUUCUGGUUUUUAAUUGAACGUAAUCGAGAAGCGCGGGAGUUUGGUCAAUCGGGCGCGGUGUGGGUGUCUCGUGUGUGUGUGUAUGCGCGCGCGCUUGUGUUUUUGUGCGGUUUAAUUGAAAAGGCAUCAACAUAGGUUGUCCACAGUCGGUACUGUUGUGUUCCAAUAAGGAACCUACAUCGUCCAAAUCAUGCACACCAUCGAAGUCUGGCAUUUGGUCACCAGAGCCCGAACUGCCAUUGGAAUCGCAGUGGGCUGAUGGCAUCACCGAAGGCUAUUGGAACCAAAGUGAACCAUGGGUAUGUUUUGAAUGUACACAUUUUGAAUUUAUCCGAUUCGUUUAUUCAGUUGGGUUUUUGGUUUUCUGUUCAUUUAAAUUCGUUUGAAUGAGCCAAUUUAAUUCUUAGUAAACUAUUUGAAAUGCUUGGUUAAAUAAUCAACACAAUCAAUAGAAGAAGGGGCAAUUGUCUAAUUGUCUACUCAUCUAAAUAGUAGCAAUUGCUCAACUAGUUUUCAAAUUGUUCUUCGUUUGCAUUCAUUAAUUCAGGGAAUUUCUAGUUUGCUACCACUUGCAUUCAUUGAGCAAGAGAUGCUUUGACUGAAGAGAAUAAGUGCAUGGAUAUACGUUGUCGUCGACAGCGCACAAUAGCGUAAUACGAGCUGCGUGAGUGACACCAACAAAGCGUUUUACAUUCAUUCUACAUAAUAAUGAAAAUGAUAAGAAUUGCCAUCAUCGUCAGAGGCGAUACGCUUUUCCUUUGUGUCGUGACACAGCGAGGAACUCUUCUUGUUUUUUUUCAUUUGUAUAAGAUGCGCUGCUCUUCAAAAGUCUUCAAGGAGGGCAACGAAGUGCUGACGCUUUUCUAAUGAUUAUAAAUUAACUACAAUUUAAUUUUACGAUUUUCUUGACGUCAUGUACCACAACUUAUACAUUUUUUCAUCUCGGCGCCCGUAUUUUAUGAGCUUUUUCGUUUUCCUCUUUCAUCUUUGUAGCAGCAAUGAGUUCAUUCUAUGAAGCGUUGCAGGAAAUUGUGGUGUACGCCUUCGGUUUCAGCCGUGAAGUGGUAUCCAAAUUGGAAAAUUCAUCAUAAAGAAACCGUAUAAUUUAUUUAUCAUUUAUUUGCGAUGCUGAAAUCCAUCCGGUGGUAAACAAAAUGAGGCCAAAUCGUUAUUUUUGAGCCGCAGAGAAUCUCAUUAAAUGAGCGUGGUUUGUUUUUUUUUUUCUUUCGCUCAUGUUUCUUCUUUUAUUUGUGCGUUUUUGUCUCAUAUUGCACCGAAUGCCACGAAUAUUUAUUUGCGUUGCAUCGAAAACGCUUGUAAUUCAAGUUAUGCCUUAUCGCUGCCAUUUCGAAACGAGCUAAACAGAAUGAUGUCGCAUUUAAUUACAUGGCUUACACAGUUGUGUCAUCGUCGAGCACUUUGUUUGUUGUCAUCGUCUUUUGUUUUUGUUGUUUUUUUUUGUUCUUUCUCUGAAUGAACGAAAUAUAAGCCUUUGACCUUCUGUUCAACGAAACCAAGUGGAUAAACGUUUUUAAACCCAAACAUGAUCCAACUUGCGCUUUUUUUCUACUUUUCGGUCGAUGUUUUUUUUCUCUCCUAUCUUCCAUCAGAUUUAUGGUUCGUAUCGCAAAUUUUCAUUAGCGCUUUGAGUUGAUGAUGCACAACGCGGCUGCCAACCGACUGUGCAAAAUACUUUUUGACGUUAUCACGUAUUUCGCGAUGCGAAGAAAGUGUUUGUGCUGUGCGAAAGCGUUCAAGAACGAAAAUAUAGCGGCAGUUAUCAAUUCAUUCAGUCAAUUUCGCAUUUUAUGGCUGGCUUUCAACACGAAAUUUAUAAUUUCCAACGAAACGAUGUUGAACUGGGUGCUAUUGGCAUGCUUUAAGUUUAAAAAAGAAAUCCAUUGAAACGUGCGUUUCAGCUUAUUGACCCGGAAAAAAAGUAGAAGAAGCUGCAAGUCAUAUUGGCAUGUCACAUUGGCUGGUGUUAGCUUUUGUAUUUUCACAUCUCGCAAAACAGCGAUGCGAACGCAUAAUUCAUGAUUAAAUUGCUUUUGUUGGCCAUUUAUUAUAUGGAAAAUAACUGCUUUAUGCUCGAAAUAGCGAUUGAAUGCUGCUCGAGCAACCUCAUCUUUCGCAAACACCACAAAACCAUUCCACUAAGCCACCACAACGCACGACAAACCGUUUUCAUGGAAAUCAUAUUUGUCUUCAAUUUUCUUUUCGCCUUUUUUUUCGACCCGCUUUCAUUCCUCCGCUUGUUUACGUUUGAAUGAAAUUUUUUGCAACAUAUUCAAAAGGAGAAUUCAAAAAGUACGCUCACCCUUUGCACUAAAUUACACCAAAAUCUAUUGUACAAAGUGAUGCUUUAGCGAAACGAACGAUAAUUCUUCCACAUGACAACAUUGAAUGAGCAUCAUUGCUUAUUUUUAUCUCAAUUCAUAUUGUAUUCAGGUUCCUUAUGUUUAUUUGCUGAAGAAAAAAGCACUCCAAAUUGAUCACGUUGAACGAUGUUUUUUUUAGUCUUUUUUUUCUACAGCCUACAUAUUCCACGGUAGACAAAUUUCCUUCUGAAUACGUUCUGAUCAGGCGAGCUGAGAAGAAAAAGAAAUAAUGCCAUUCGUUUGAGGAAUUGAAUUGAGGCAAAAUAUAUAGAAGCGAAGCUAAUGUCAAUGAUUUUGGUGUACCUUCAUCAGUCGGCGUGUGUGAGUGUGUUGUCAAGCUAAAAAUGGCAAUACCGCGAAAAAGCAAGUAAACUGGAUCUCGCGCCAAAUUUCAAUGAACGAAGGCCGACUUAAAAAAAAUUCAUAAAAUCUGUACACGUGCCGUUGUAUUCUCACCGUUACGACAUCGUUUAUAUCCGUUUCUGUUUAUAUGCUGCUUGACUUUUUUUCCUUUCUUUAUUUGCUCCAUCUGCAUUCUAUCGUGCGCCCGUUUGUUAGCGCUCAAACACACAUGCUAUUUUUGGUAUAUUCGUUACAUUUACAUUAUUUUUUAUCGAGUCAAUUGAUGUGCUCUUGAUUUUUCGUAACGGUUUUCUUCUUCUUCUUCUUAUUCUUUUUUUUUUGGUUCGGUGCCCGUCGUUGUCGUUUCUUUGGGAACAAUUCCCAAAGCGAUACGUAAAGCUUAUUGCCUCACAUGCUUUGUGCGGAGAGCUAAAUCGCAUCAUGCAAGGUUCGUGUGUCGAACGCGAAGAAAAAAAUUCGCUUGGAUUUCGAAAGGGAAAAAAGCUCUUUUACAUCUCUUGCUCUUCAUUGAUGGCAUUAUUGUGUUGUGUAUUUUCCAUUGACUCGAUGAAUUCCCAGAAAUUUGGCAAAAUACUCAAAGCCAACAUCAAGUUGUUGUGUUCUCUCAUUUUGACUAUAUAAUAGAGAAAAAGCUAAGCGCACAAACAUCACCUCAUUGUACAAAGUGGUAUGAGCUUACACGGCACUCAAUGUAUCAUCAUCAUCAUCAUUGCCGUCGCACAUAAGGAAUGUAGUAUGGGAAGGAUGAAACAAGCGCGCCCAUACCUUGUAAUAUAUAUAUAAUCGAAUAAAAAAAGGGAUACAAACAAAAGAGCCGAACAUGCGAAAGCAUGACAAAUUCCCAGGCAGAAGAGAGCGCAUGAAUCGAACGGAAAACACAUAUCAGUCCAUUAUGAGAAGCGGAAAACUGUAAAAAAAUAGAAAAAAAAAUCCCGUCUCACACAAUUCAUGCCCCCCCCUUCCUCACACGCUUUCCCACUUUCUAUCUUUGACUACGCAUAACGUGACGUUGCUAUCUCUGCCAAUUCAAAUUGCUCCCAGAGAACAAAGCCACCGAACUGAUUUCAAAACUUCGUUACGUGUAUUGUGUUGCCAGAGAUAAAUCCGUCGUCCUUGAUUCAAUAUUUUUGUCUUUCAGUCGUGUGUUAUGAUUUUACUCUAUGUUUCGAUACACAAAUAUACACAUAUAUUCAUUCGUUCAUAGUGCUUCAUGCAUGGGAGGUGCGAGCGAGCGAGAGUUGAAGACGCUUCCGCCGUGCAAUGUUCGUUACUAAGUUUUCAACUCGUAUCUCUUCCGAUUGCAAGCAUGCGAUUCAAAUCACGUGCUUUUGAGAGCAUUUCUUUAUAUUUAAUGUUCACCUCCGUCGGCAUGGGCUGUGCACCGAUUCAUUUUAUUUAUUCUCAAUUCCUUCGCCCAUAUAUUUUACGUUCCGUGGAAUUUGUUUUUGAUGUCAUGUUAUGCUUCUCGCUUCGCCUUCUCCUCAGUUGGUUGGUGUGUUUGUUUCUUUCCCUCAACUUUUCUACAACAUCAAAAGAACACCAUUUCUCUGUUGUCGUUGGUGUGGUUUCGAAAUAGAACGUUGAUAUCUGUUGAUUUUCUACAUUUAUCGUUCAAAUGGAAAAUAAUUGUGUAGUCUCAAGCAAAACUCGACGGCAGCAAAUUCAAAACGGAUGCAUAGCGAAGAAACAUAACACAAAAAGCCAAGUGAGGACGAACGCUAUUCAUUUGAAAGCCAACCGGGGUCUUUUUCGUACGAAGUUCUCUCGUUUAUGCUGCAUUAAGUCAUUUCCAAGCAACUCGACCGAAUGCGCGUCGUCGGCAGCAACUGAAACGAAAAAGCGACACACGAAAACAAAUGGACAACGACGAAAAUGGUUUUCUUUGCUUGUCAUUCCUCCGAUUUUAACUUGUCUCCUUGCUUUUCUCUCUCUCUCUCUCUCUCUCUCUCUCUCUCUCUCUCUCUCUCUCGUUGUAGUCGCAGUUUUUCUGAGAAUACUUUCAUGCCAACGCAUUUUACGGUGACUUAUACAAAAUUCCAAAAUACUCAAGAGUUUGUCGCUUUUGUGCACGAUGCACACACCAAUUUUCUUUUCCUUGCUCGUGAUUCGUUCAAAUAAAAUUUUUGCUAUCGCGAAAGUUUUCUGGUACAAUUAAAAACUGUAAAAGAAGAAAUGAGAGCGAGUGGAAGGAAAGCGAGAGAGAGGAGCGAGAGAGUUGCAGAGCGGAAUUUGUGUGAAUGUGACGCUUUUUGCACGACAUUUCGACCUCUUUGCGAUUCAUUUUCAAGUGAUCUCAACAUUUUAGUCAAAUGAGGAUUGUGAUGUCAGCGUUUUUUCUUCUUUCCAAUGCGUACAAUGUCUUCGACUUAAUGGAUAUUUUUAUGGGUUUGAGUUUAAAUCUUUUUUUUUCCCGAGCGUCUUUGAUUUAUGAGGGUAUAAAAAAUGUGAAAAAACUACACAACACAUACACACACAAAGUCAAGCGCAGCGGCACUGUGUUGCAGCGCCCAGGCAAAAUAGAUUUAAAUGCUUAAACAAGCCCUUUCAAUGUCUGCUACAGACGUAGAUUUCUCUGUAAAUCAACCGUUAAAAUGUGAUUCGUCAUCGCCGAGCCAGUGAUAGCAUCUUAUAAAUAUUUUCCAUUCGGUUGUGUGUGUAUUGAGAGAGCCAUUCCACUUUGGGAUGCUCAUAAGCUUAUCACAAUCAGCAUACAGAGAUAUUUCAGACAUUUUAACUCGAUACAAAGAAAGAAUAAUAAUAUGAACCGAACACAUGUCAUUGAAAUAUCUACUUGAGCGUUCAUAUUUGUAGGUAACAUUCCACUUGACUUGACUUGUUUCCGUUGAAUUGGAACUUUGUGAAAUCGUGCUCCGCUAAAUUGGUUUUUGUUCUGCUUUAGCUUACCUUGAGAUCGUUGAAUAUUUAAAGAUGGUAAAAAUAAUAACAUUCAUCAAGACCUUCUUAUUUUGACUUACUGUGAACUCAAACGUAAGUUAAAACAAUGAUGCAAACUAGCUGUAUGUGAUAUACGUAAAGCAUUUAUGUCACAACUAACAGCGCCAUCUAACAUCGUAAUGGAAUUAUUCCAAUGGAUAUUUCUUUUUUUAUUAGCGAAUAUUCACUUAAAAAGUGUAAAAAAUAAAAAUUGAUAGAUCAAUAUGUAGAAACUUUUAAUUUGCGUGAGAUUAAUAUUUUAAUAUUGUAGAGAAAAAUUUAAAAUUGAAAUUAUUACUUAGUCACUUCACUUGUGUACAAAAGUUCAAGUUUUAGUGCUUUGGGUAAAGCUAUUGAAUGAACGUUAGCAACUCCACGUAUGUUUACAUUCGAUGACAGCUGUCAGUGAUACAUUGAAAUAUUUACGGGGUUAUAACGUAAAUGAUGUUUCCACUCGCGAACAAUAUUUAUAUAGUAAUGUUUUCAUAAAUUAAACAAUCCUGUGGCAUGAUAAUAAUUCCAGACAUGGAUUUUAAACUGUUAAAACUACGGUGAUGCUGACUGACUCAAUAAACCGACUGACUCAGUAAACCACGGUUUUCAAUGACGUUUAACAAAUGAAGAAAUGAAUUUUAUGGUAUUCUAUCAUUUUUGCAAGUAUGCGAUGAAAAUUGUGUGAAAAAGAUGCACAAAAUAUGUUGUAAGUGCUGUUUGUGGUAAUCAAACAUGAAAAUGUUCGUGAUCUAAACAAUACCAACGAUGAAUUUUUCAUGCCGCAAAAGAACGGCAACCUAACCUCCAAAGUUUAGCGGCUCUAUGAUUGCACCGACUCAAUCAAAAUAUUUCAUACUGCGCAUUUUUUUCUCAUUAAUUUGAAGAAAAUUUUUAUUUGACCAAAUUAUUUUCAUGAAACAAACUCAUUAAAAAUUCAGGUUUAUAUUUUUAUGUAAAACAUAUUCGAAAAAACCAUGGGAGAUUUAUGCCUUGGGCGUUAGCACUACAAAUUCUUCCAAUGAAUUUCCUUAGUUUCGGUUUAAUGAGUCAUAGAUAUGGUUUAUCGAGUAAGUCGUUAGUCGCAUAUCAAUAAUUGUUGUGAAUCCAAUAAAAAUCAGAAUUAUAGAAAUAAACUGAAAUAAUCAUUGAUUUCUUAUGAAUUUCCUUUUUUACCUUAUUAAUUGGAUACUUAUGGUUUGGGCGUUAGCACUACAAAUUCUAGCAUUGAUUCAGGUGUUAGCCUUUAGUCAAUGUUCGAUGUGAACUCAACAAAAGUCAAAAUUACUGAAAUAAUCAUUGGUUUAUUAUAGCAUUUUUUGCUUACUUUUAUUUUCAGAAAAUCAAUGUAAAAAUGUUGUUCUUUACGCAUAAUUAUACAUAAAAUAAAGUCUGCAAUUCGAAAAUUUGAAAUUUCAAAGUACGCGCCAUCAUCACUGACUUUGACAGCUAUGGGAUUGAAGUAUCUACCGUUUUUGAAUUGUAUUAUUUUUUAUUACGAAGUUAAACAAAAUUUAGUUCGAGUUUUUCUCAAUCAAGGAAAAAUGCAUAUUCUUAUGACUCACUAAACCGAAUCAGAAAUAAAAGUAAUUGCAACAUUCCAAUUUGACGGAUGGAUCAAGCGUUUCGAACGUCUGAACGUUUGAUCGUUUGAACGUUUUUUUUUAAUGUUUUGAAGCUUGACCGUAAGCAUCAUAGCUUUCUUCUAACGAUUGUAGAUGGCGCUAUUCUUGUGCGUGUCACUUAAUUUGCCUCAUUGGUUAAAACAAUACAAAGAAAGAAA